This 292-nucleotide ribosomal RNA is filed under the name uncultured bacterium. Its description in RNAcentral is "partial 16S ribosomal RNA". It matches the Rfam family "Bacterial small subunit ribosomal RNA", at positions 505 to 796 of the family's 1533-position model. The record is from RNAcentral.
GUGCCAGCAGCCGCGGUAAUACGUAGGGGGCGAGCGUUGUCCGGAAUCAUUGGGCGUAAAGAGCGUGUAGGCGGCUUGGCAAGUCUGACGUGAAAGCCCGCGGCUCAACCGCGGAUUGUCGUUGGAAACUGCCUCGCUAGAGUCCGGAAGAGGAGAGCGGAAUUCCUGGUGUAGCGGUGGAAUGCGCAGAUAUCAGGAAGAACACCCGUGGCGAAGGCGGCUCUCUGGGACGGUACUGACGCUGAGACGCGAAAGCGUGGGGAGCGAACAGGAUUAGAUACCCUGGUAGUCC